GAUCAUGGCUCAGGAUGAACGCUAGCUACAGGCUUAACACAUGCAGGUCGAGGGGCAUCAGUUUGGUUUGCUUGCAAACCAAAGUCUGGCGACCGGCGCACGGUGAGUAACACGUAUCCAACCUGCCUCAUACUCGGGGAUAGCCUUUCGAAAGAAAGAUUAAUAUCCGAUAGCAUAUAUUUCCCGCAUGGGUUUUAUAUUAAAGAAAUUCGGUAUGAGAUGGGGAUGCGUUCCAUUAGUUUG
RNAcentral lists this ribosomal RNA (243 nucleotides) under uncultured bacterium. Its description in RNAcentral is "partial 16S ribosomal RNA". It matches the Rfam family "Bacterial small subunit ribosomal RNA", at positions 15 to 248 of the family's 1533-position model. The record is from RNAcentral.